This is a long non-coding RNA of Prinia subflava (tawny-flanked prinia), 495 nucleotides long. RefSeq lists it as uncharacterized. The record is from RefSeq and is a predicted model, not a curated record. The transcript has 2 exons. NCBI's taxonomy places the organism in Eukaryota, Metazoa, Chordata, Aves, Passeriformes, Cisticolidae.
CCCUGAGGGGACCAGGCCCGGGAACCCCGAGCGGACCAGGCCCGGGAACCCCGAGCGGACCAGGCCCAGGGACCCUGAGGGGACCAGGCCCGGGGACCCUGAGGGGACCAGGCCCGGGACCCCGAGCCGCUCCCGGGCGGGGACACCCACUUUUCCCCGCUCCGCAUGGGGACGUCCCUGUUCACAUGCCCCGCUGGCGGUAGGAAUGAGUCGGGUCCCGAGCGCAGUGGGUGCUGUGAGGGGUGUCCAGGAGCACCGGCCCUCAAAAGUGCUCUGCUGAUGUCAGUGGAAAGCAGCCCUGCAGCAACACAACUUCAACCCCCGAGUAAGCAAUAGGGAGUCAGGGUGGAGUCCAGGGUGGAGAGAGAGAUUUAUCAUUGCUGAGCAGGCAGAAAAAUGAGAGCAGCAGCAGGGAGGAUCCCAGCUUGAGGCCUCUGUAUGAACAACUCAGGCCUGAGCUGAGCACCAGUGACACUGGACAGGCUGGAUCUGGAG